GAUGAACGCUGGCGGCGUGCCUAAUACAUGCAAGUCGAGCGAACAGACGAGGAGCUUGCUCCUCUGACGUUAGCGGCGGACGGGUGAGUAACACGUGGAUAACCUACCUAUAAGACUGGGAUAACUUCGGGAAACCGGAGCUAAUACCGGAUAAUAUAUUGAACCGCAUGGUUCAAUAGUGAAAGACGGUUUUGCUGUCACUUAUAGAUGGAUCCGCGCCGCAUUAGCUAGUUGGUAAGGUAACGGCUUACCAAGGCAACGAUGCGUAGCCGACCUGAGAGGGUGAUCGGCCACACUGGAACUGAGACACGGUCCAGACUCCUACGGGAGGCAGCAGUAGGGAAUCUUCCGCAAUGGGCGCAAGCCUGACGGAGCAACGCCGCGUGAGUGAUGAAGGUCUUCGGAUCGUAAAACUCUGUUAUUAGGGAAGAACAACUGUGUAAGUAACUCUGCACGUCUUGACGGUACCUAAUCAGAAAGCCACGGCUAACUACGUG
This 497-nucleotide ribosomal RNA is filed under the name uncultured bacterium. Its description in RNAcentral is "partial 16S ribosomal RNA". It matches the Rfam family "Bacterial small subunit ribosomal RNA", at positions 28 to 507 of the family's 1533-position model. The record is from RNAcentral.